ACAAUGGGCGAAAGCCUGAUCCAGCAAUGCCGCGUGAGUGAUGAAGGCCUUAGGGUUGUAAAGCUCUUUUCCCGGGAUGAUAAUGACAGUACCGGGAGAAUAAGCUCCGGCUAACUCCGUGCCACAGCCGCGGUAAUACGGACGGAGCUAGCGUUGUUCGGAAUUACUGGGCGCUAAAGCGCACGAUAGGCGGCUUUGCAAGUCAGAGGUGAAAGCCUCGGAGCUCAACUCCGAGAACUGCCUUUGAGCUGCAUCGCUUGAAUCCAGGCAGAGGUGAGUGGAAUUCCGAGUGUAGAGGAUGAAAUUCGUAGAUAUUCGGAA
This 321-nucleotide ribosomal RNA is filed under the name uncultured marine bacterium. RNAcentral's name for it is "bacterial SSU rRNA". It matches the Rfam family "Bacterial small subunit ribosomal RNA", at positions 368 to 703 of the family's 1533-position model. The record is from RNAcentral.